AUCCUCUUUCUCUAAUGGUUUGCUUUUGCAUCCCAUGCAAGCCUGCCGCUCAGUGCUGGACAGAAGAGACAGAAGAUCGCUCAUGAGAAGUUCUCCAGCAAACAGUCAGCAGCCCAACAGCCAAGACACAGAAUUUAUGUUCCUUUAUGUCAGCAGUCCCUUACCAUAGCUUCUGGGUGAAGCCUCCCAAUAAGUUCACAGCCUUCCUGAAGAAAGCUCAAACACGUGAUGUGCAGGAGGGAACUACCUGGACUCUAUUUACUUAAUGUGUGAAGUAGAACAAUUUUGUCCAGGUUUGGUACUUGACGGUUUGUUACUAAGAGGCAAAAAACACCAGGGCUCCAACAUUUUGAAGCUCACAAUCAACAGCCUUCCUUAGAAAUGCAGAAACAUAUACAGAAGUUUCAUUAUCUACAGACUAGAAUAACAUCUCUCAAGAAACUGAAAUCUCUGAAGAGCCAGAUGCCCCUUACAAGCAACACCCUGUUCCCAACACGAUGCACACAAGUUCCAAAAAAUCACCCUCUGACUGGAGCCCUCUCUGGGUAAUCGCCCUCCUACCUACAUUACUUGGUUAAGCUUUCUCUUCUCACUAGCCCUCACACCUUUAACAGACUGAGAAAUGUAAACUAGUUCCUGACUGAUCACUUGCUGACUAGAGGGUGCCAGAAGAACUUCACUGCUUUGCCUUCCGCAGAGCUCCCAGACUCUAGGUAUGGCUGCCUGAACAACCAAGGACCCCCCAGCCCCAAGUCAAUGGCUUUUCUAUAAUACGUUCAUUUAAAAUAUCUGGUAAGGCAAGAAUAUUAUCUAACUUUGGCCAGACAGAAUGAUACAGCUCAAUAUUGCUUACUCCUUAUAUUUAACAAAGGAGAGAAAGCCUGCCACGUUAGUAUUUGCUCAUGCUUGUAUCUUCCUUGCAGAUAAAGGAAACUUAUUCUGAUUGUGCUUACCCAUAAUAAAAGCUAAUCAAAGAAGGGCAAUUACUGGUAACGUUUGAUUAAAACGAGCAAAACGUUGUUCCAUCAAACAAUAUUGUUUUAUGCCAUUAUCUUGAGAACUGCACCAUCUGGUACUAACAUGGAAGUACAUUUGCUGCCUAAAGCUAAAAAACUGUCCGAAUCAGGGCUGUCCGGACUUUGAGCCCAGAUUUACAGAACUGAAUUCACUGUAUAUUAGCAAGUUACUUUUGUAGUGUAGUAUUGCAACAGGUAUAUUCUGGUCUGGGUUCAUAAUCACAGCUGUUUGUGAAUAGCAAUCAAACUUUAUAAAUAGGAUUACUCUUUACAGAAUUAUUAAAAUGCAUAGAAGCUUUUUUUUCUUUUCCAAAAGGGAAGUGGUAUUUCUUUCAUUAAGACAAAAAAAUAUGAGCUUUCUGAAGUUGCAUCAUAACUUUUUGUGGUUGCAUCACAGUAAGAACAGGUCACAAUUGAGAGAGAGACUGCAUGCCACUUGAAAUACCUUAGAAACCUUAGAAAUGAUUUCUAUUUCCAUGUAUAAAAUAACUGUCUAUGGAAAAAUCUAUUUUAUAUUUGCCUUAUUCUAGUUUCUGUUCUGGACUCCUGAUACAUGAGAUUUCCACUGGAGUAUCCUAUUGCACUAGAUGAACGUUACUGACUUUUUUUCUAGGAGAGCAAAAACCUAUUAUCUCACAUGAAAUGCGAGGCCCAUUCAUUGUGUUCCAGUUGAUAAAUCAGGAUCACUUCAUCUGUGGACAUUCACUACAUAAAAGUUGUUACUUAACACCCCAAAGACAGUAUUGUUAGUUGCUUUCAGAGCUAUUCUCUCAAAGUGCAGUAUGCUAUCUCCACUGAUCCCACAUGCUGUAAAAUGGGUGGUUAAGCCCUGAUUCUCUCAUUCGUUCAAGUCAAAAAAUGAAGGAAGACACUUGCAGUUCAUUUCACAACAAAUCUGCUGAGAGUCUGAAUUCAAAAUAAAAACUACUUGCUCCUUACGUUUUGAAUAAGUCAGUAUUACUAUACUAAUAAAUGUAUGGACUAGAACAGUUGAGGAGAUUUCUAAUUAUGGAAGUGUUGCACGACAUUUUUAAAGAAAAGCCUGUACUAACCAAUCUCUAGUUAUACCAAUGCUCUGCUCUUCUCAAAAGUUACAUCCAUUAAACAAGCGUCUUUGAAUGCUAUGCACUUGGAAGUUCUGUCUGCAUCCAGAAAACCCCCUAUUACCAACAGGGUCUAGUGUUUCUGGCACUUCAUAGCUCAC
Molecule: non-coding RNA, 2220 nt
Organism: Struthio camelus australis
Lineage: Eukaryota; Metazoa; Chordata; Aves; Struthioniformes; Struthionidae
Source: RefSeq, a predicted model, not a curated record